UACGAAGGGGGCUAGCGUUGUUCGGAUUUACUGGGCGUAAAGCGCACGUAGGCGGCCUGUUAAGUCAGGGGUGAAAUCCUGGAGCUCAACUCCAGAACUGCCCUUGAUACUGGCAGGCUCGAGUAUGGAAGAGGUUGGUGGAACUGCGAGUGUAGAGGUGAAAUUCGUAGAUAUUCGCAAGAACACCAGUGGCGAAGGCGGCCAACUGGUCCAUUACUGACGCUGAGGUGCGAAAGCGUGGGGAGCAAACAGGAUUAGAUACCCGGGUAGU
This 271-nucleotide ribosomal RNA is filed under the name uncultured bacterium. Its description in RNAcentral is "partial 16S ribosomal RNA". It matches the Rfam family "Bacterial small subunit ribosomal RNA", at positions 524 to 794 of the family's 1533-position model. The record is from RNAcentral.